This 500-nucleotide ribosomal RNA is filed under the name uncultured bacterium. RNAcentral's name for it is "partial 16S ribosomal RNA". It matches the Rfam family "Bacterial small subunit ribosomal RNA", at positions 30 to 523 of the family's 1533-position model. The record is from RNAcentral.
AUUGAACGCUGGCGGAAUGCUUUACACAUGCAAGUCGAACGGCAGCACGGACUUCGGUCUGGUGGCGAGUGGCGAACGGGUGAGUAAUGUAUCGGAACGUGCCCAGUCGUGGGGGAUAACGUAGUGAAAAUUACGCUAAUACCGCAUACGAUCUAUGGAUGAAAGCGGGGGACCGCAAGACCUCGCGCGAUUGGAGCGGCCGAUAUCAGAUUAGGUAGUUGGUGGGGUAAAGGCCCACCAAGCCAACGAUCUGUAGCUGGUCUGAGAGGACGAGCAGCCACACUGGAACGGAGACACGGUCCGGACGCCUACGGGAGGCAGCAGUGGGGAAUUUUGGACAAUGGGCGAAAGCCUGAUCCAGCCAUUCCGCGUGCAGGAUGAAAGCCCUCGGGUUGUAAACUGCUUUUGUACAGAACGAAAAGGUUUCUACUAAUACUAGGAGCUCAUGACGGUACUGUAAGAAUAAGCACCGGCUAACUACGUGCCAGCCGCCGCCGUAA